This 249-nucleotide ribosomal RNA is filed under the name uncultured Bradyrhizobium sp. Its description in RNAcentral is "partial 16S ribosomal RNA". It matches the Rfam family "Bacterial small subunit ribosomal RNA", at positions 796 to 1041 of the family's 1533-position model. Lineage: Bacteria; Pseudomonadati; Pseudomonadota; Alphaproteobacteria; Hyphomicrobiales; Nitrobacteraceae. The record is from RNAcentral.
CACGCCGUAAACGAUGAAUGCCAGCCGUUAGUGGGUUUACUCACUAGUGGCGCAGCUAACGCUUUAAGCAUUCCGCCUGGGGAGUACGGUCGCAAGAUUAAAACUCAAAGGAAUUGACGGGGGCCCGCACAAGCGGUGGAGCAUGUGGUUUAAUUCGACGCAACGCGCAGAACCUUACCAGCCCUUGACAUCCCGGUCGCGGACUCCAGAGACGGAGUUCUUCAGUUCGGCUGGACCGGAGACAGGUGC